RNAcentral lists this ribosomal RNA (504 nucleotides) under uncultured bacterium. RNAcentral's name for it is "bacterial SSU rRNA". It matches the Rfam family "Bacterial small subunit ribosomal RNA", at positions 23 to 502 of the family's 1533-position model. The record is from RNAcentral.
CUCAGAACGAACGCUGGCGGCGUGCUUAACACAUGCAAGUCGAACGAGAACGGGUUUCUUCGGAAACCUUAUUAAAGUGGCGCACGGGUGAGUAACACGUAGAUAAUCUACCCUGGUGUCUGGGAUAACUGACCGAAAGGUUCGCUAAUACCUGAUACGUUCACUUUACCGCAAGGUAGAGUGAAGAAAGAUGGCCUCUUCUUGAAAGCUAUCGCACCUAGAUGAGUUUGCGUACCAUUAGCUAGUUGGUGGGGUAAGAGCCUACCAAGGCUACGAUGGUUAGCGGGUCUGAGAGGAUGAUCCGCCACACUGGAACUGGAACACGGACCAGACUCCUACGGGAGGCAGCAGUGAGGAAUUUUGCGCAAUGGGGGAAACCCUGACGCAGCGACGCCGCGUGGACGAUGAAGGCCUUAGGGUUGUAAAGUCCUGUCAGUAGGGAAGAAAUGCAUAAUGAUUAAUACUCAUUAUGUUUGACGUACCUACAAAGAAGCACCGCUAACU